This 32-nucleotide transfer RNA is filed under the name Orobdella angustata. Its description in RNAcentral is "partial tRNA-Cys". The record is from RNAcentral. Lineage: Eukaryota; Metazoa; Annelida; Clitellata; Hirudinida; Orobdellidae.
AAAUUUAAAGGUAUAAAUUUAUCAUUUUCUAU